GACGAACGCUGGCGGCGUGCUUAACACAUGCAAGUCGAACGCUGAAGCCCAGCUUGCUGGGUGGAUGAGUGGCGAACGGGUGAGUAACACGUGAGUAACCUGCCCCCUUCUUUGGGAUAACGCCCGGAAACGGGUGCUAAUACUGGAUAUUCACUGGCCUUCGCAUGGGGGUUGGUGGAAAGGUUUUUUCUGGUGGGGGAUGGGCUCGCGGCCUAUCAGCUUGUUGGUGGGGUGAUGGCCUACCAAGGCUUUGACGGGUAGCCGGCCUGAGAGGGGGACCGGUCACAUUGGGACUGAAAUACGGCCCAUACUCCUACGGGAGGUAUCAGUGGUGAAUUUUGCAUAUGGGCUAAAGCCUGAUGCAUCGACGCCGGGUGAGGAUGACGGCCUUCUGUUUGUUUACCUCUUUUUCUAUUGUUCAAUCCGCUGGUUUGGUUGUGGUUGGUGGUUUUGGUGAAUGGUGGUUGGCUUUCUGCUUUCUGGUUUUCAAUGCAGAUGUGCGGC
Molecule: ribosomal RNA, 504 nt
Filed under: uncultured Enterobacteriaceae bacterium
Lineage: Bacteria; Pseudomonadati; Pseudomonadota; Gammaproteobacteria; Enterobacterales; Enterobacteriaceae
Description: bacterial SSU rRNA
Rfam family: Bacterial small subunit ribosomal RNA
Source: RNAcentral